UGAACGCUGGCGGUAGGCCUAACACAUGCAAGUCGAACGGCAGCACAGUAAGAGCUUGCUCUUACGGGUGGCGAGUGGCGGACGGGUGAGGAAUACAUCGGAAUCUACUUUUUCGUGGGGGAUAACGUAGGGAAACUUACGCUAAUACCGCAUACGACCUACGGGUGAAAGCAGGGGAUCUUCGGACCUUGCGCGAUUGAAUGAGCCGAUGUCGGAUUAGCUAGUUGGCGGGGUAAAGGCCCACCAAGGCGACGAUCCGUAGCUGGUCUGAGAGGAUGAUCAGCCACACUGGAACUGAGACACGGUCCAGACUCCUACGGGAGGCAGCAGUGGGGAAUAUUGGACAAUGGGCGCAAGCCUGAUCCAGCUAUACCGCGUGGGUGAAGAAGGCCUUCGGGUUGUAAAGCCCUUUUGUUGGGAAAGAAAAGCAGCAGGUUAAUACCCCGCUGUUCUGACGGUACCCAAAGAAUAAGCACCGGCUAACUUCGUG
Molecule: ribosomal RNA, 490 nt
Filed under: uncultured bacterium
Lineage: Bacteria
Description: partial 16S ribosomal RNA
Rfam family: Bacterial small subunit ribosomal RNA
Source: RNAcentral